Long non-coding RNA from Felis catus (domestic cat), 5165 nucleotides. RefSeq lists it as uncharacterized. The transcript is spliced from 11 exons. The record is from RefSeq and is a predicted model, not a curated record. Lineage: Eukaryota; Metazoa; Chordata; Mammalia; Carnivora; Felidae.
UCUCUCUCUCAAAACAAAUAAAUAAACAUUAAAAAACAAAUGAAGGAGUAAAGGGUAUCCUGAAAUGAUGAUCAGUGAGAACUGAUUUUGCUUCUGACUACAUCUAACUUAUUCUGAAAGAAGGAGAUAAUGGCUCAACAUGGAACAAAAUGCCUGUGAAGAAGAAGCAGAAAAUGAGCCAAGGGGCCAGAACAGUUCAUAGAGCGAAGCUUUAGUUCCAGGCAAAUUAAUUCCACGCAUAUAGGAAAGAAAGUACCAAUGUAAAGGCAUCACCGUUUGAUAUAAAUCCCUGUCCAUAAUGACAUCAGUUUGGCUAGCAUGGCUGGGCAAGGAGAAUAGCAGCCAAGUAAAAGCAAUAGACUCUGGAGCCAGACUAUCUGGAUUCAAAUCCUAGCCCCACCACUUUCUAACCAUGUGAUCCAGGGCAAGUCCCUCCUUCCCUCUUUGACUCUGUGUUCUUAUCUGUAAAAGAAUAACAGUACUUGCCUUAUAGGGUAGUCAUGGGGAUUCAAUGAGAUCAUGUAUAUAAGGCAUGUAGAAAAGUGCCCAGCCUAUGCUAAAUACCAGAAGGAUGUUUGCUUUAUAUGUCCUUAUGAGGUACUCAGUGUGCGACCAAGAUACAGACAGUGGUUUUAUACUUAGACAUUCUUAGGGCUUUCAUAUAGGAAAAGGACACAGUAGAUUUGAUUCAUCUUAGAUGCACUUUGCUAAAUAAAGUAAUUUUUAGAUCACCUAGAUUUAUUUUAGUUUUAGAAUUUGAGUGUUAAUUUGUAAGGUCAAUCAACUAACCUGUUGCCCUGACUCAGUCCAAGGUGGAAUUUUGCUCCCAGCAAAAGGGGAUUUAGCAUAUAAAUUGAACGAUUAUCAAACAAAGACAGACUGGCCACUAUCUUGAAAAUGGGAGUGGCAAAAAAUGGGUGAUAACCCUGCCGGCAAAAUCCAAGGGAUUAGGGAAACCAACCAGGGUUUAGAGUUUGACGUAGCAAAUGUAUUUUGAGGUGAUAUUGAUAGAAAUAAAGCGUAGCUCAUAGAUUAUAGUUUGGAUAGACUUCCGCACGUUUAAAUCUUCCCUCCUGCUUUCUUCAAAGAGUUGGAAUGGAUGGUCUGUGACACAGCCUUCCAUGGAGGUAAGAGAGGCUUUAUUCCUUCAAGGCAAUUUGGUCCAACUCUGCUAGUUCAUCCAUGGGAGAAGCCUGGCAAAAUUCCAAAGGUGAUUAGUGUUGUAUCUGUUAUUUCACAGGGUGGAGUGUGUUUGGGUAGAUGGAGGGGGAAACCUAUAAUUUCAUAGCUGCUGGUUGAACAUUUCUGCUAAACUUCUUUUUAUCUUAAAAAUUGGUGAAAAGAUCUCAACAUUCAAGAUGAUACGAGGGCAUUGAACUAUCCCCAGGAUAGAAUGUACCCACAGUGGUUGCUAAAUCUUGGUGUGGUGCAGGUUGGAAGUCUCUAAAAUAUUUCCUGCAAAAUAUGAAUUACUGUUUUGGCCCAUUUUUCUAGAUCUAAAUCAACUUAAUUACUUGAAGUCUGAAGGUUUUUCCCCAUAAAUAUAAAAUCAGAAGUGAAAGCUUAACCUAGACCUUUUAGGAAAAAAGGUUGCAUUUUAAAAUCAUGCCACCACUGUCUUGUUUGGGAAGAAUACAAGUUGGGUCCAAUCAAGUGUUGAGUCAUCAACUAUUUCAGUGCCCAUAUUCAUCAUGCCUAAGAAAUAUAAGCAUUCUUAUUUUUUUAAUAGGCUCUUUGAAUCAUAUUAUAAAUGAGUACCAUGUAAAUAAAUUAGCACAACAAUCACGCCAUGCUUUUUUGUCAUCAUGGGUCAUUUUCAUCGGAUGCUUAGUGAUUUCAUUGCACUUGUGUAAUCAGGUGAAGAAGCUCCACCGGAGCAUCCAUGGGUCAGCUAUGUAGACUCUAGCUGCCAAAGGCGCUUCUCCUUCUGAACAGAGCGCUUUGCUCAGCCAGUGUAGACAUGGCCUGAUAAACAAUGGAACUUCUCCCUUGAGCUGGAGUUUGGAUUGAUCUAAUUCUUUAACUCAAACGUGUGCACAGGUUUGAUGAGUGUUUAAAUGCCUGCAUUUUAGUAAAACAGGAACUUAAAUUGACAGUAAUGUGAGGAAUCGCAUAAUUUAUAAUGAACUUGAAAGGCAGGAGCACUCACUGUUGCUCAAGCUAAUCAAGGGACUAUCAAAUCAAGGGUUUAACAUGAGCUUAAAUAUAUGUGGCAGGAGGGUUGUUCUUGCAGGCUUAUAUCUGUCAGAUCUUAACACUAAACCUGUCAGGGUGCAACAUGGCCGUGUCACUUUUAACCAAGAUGUCACAUAUAUUGUGAGAAACAACCUGCUUUGUGUUUUCUUCUCUGGGAUUUUACUGGGAAAAGCAAAUGUAAAAGGGAUUUUUUUUUUUUAACACUGCAUUUUUAUUUUGCAGAUUCUCAGGCUGAUGGAGAGAGUGACGAGUGGGUUGCCAGCUAUAGUCAGCGUGCACAAUGGCUGCGGGGAAUAUAUUCAGACAUGCCCAAGGAGGUCUGCCCAGGGGGAAACACAUACCUUUGAGGUUUAAAUCAGAAAGGAAGGAGAGGCUGUUUCUACAGGUGUCAUAGAAAAAUCAAUAUUGAGCCACGGAUUAUUGGAUCCCAUAGAACCAUGGAGACUUGGCAGUGAAAUUCUUCCAAAGUUUCUCCUAGAUUUUGAAAAGUUGAAAAGCUCAACAUAAUGCAUUGGUUGUUUUCCUGCAUUGCUUAGCAUUCCAUCCUUGCAGGCAGACGGUGUUCCUAGGUUUGGAAGGAUAAAUCCCAGGGGAAGUGAGCUGAAGAACAUUUCAUGCAUCACUCAUCCUAUUAUGAGCCCUGUGCUGUUCCAUCUCUCUACAAGGCUGGCUGAAACAACAGCAGAAAUUGGUGUGUAAUUCGUAUUCUAACUUUGGAUCACCUGGUUAAUACUCUGACUCUGACUACCCAGAAGGACAAUGUUCUAUAAGAAGAACUAUCUGUUAAAAGGCCUGCUGCUGCAUUAUUAAUAAAAUAACAGGGAAAAUGCGAUAAUCUGGAUGUCCCAUCUGAUGAGUUGGCAGUUAAAGAACCGAAACAGCAAUAAGACUGCGCAGGCACAUUUUCCCAGUGCCACCAACUGGGCGUUAAGCUGACUAACGUUUUGAAAGCCCAGCCCAUUUCGUUCACAGCAGGCAAGGCAGCGGUUGACUGAUUGUACCCGCCAGCUGGCUAAUAUCAUAAUUAACAAAGUUGCUACUACAUCUGCAAAGUUUAAUCGAAAAAUUUGCCAGUGAUAUGAUGGCAUUGUCACAAAGAUCACAAGGGACACGGAGUUGACUUUUGCUCAAGGUGGAAUGGCAAAGCUGUAUGGGCAAGAUGAGAAAUCGUGCACUUGUUCAGCCAAAGGUUAUGCUUCAUAUCACCCACCGGGGAGGAUCAUCUCUCAUGAAAACUUCCAAAUUUGAUUUUGAAAAUUAUUCAGAAAAAUUUAAGCCACGCUAUCUCCCACUGUAGGAAAGAAUAUACUCUGGAGGUUCCUAUAAUUCAAAGAAAAUGGACUGGGAUAACAUUUGGGUUUGCAUGCCACCAAAAUCCUCUCGAGAAGGACAGCCAGGUUUUGCUAAAGGAUCACACUGUGGAAUCUACAACCGCGACAAACUUCUGCACUUACUGCCCCUUGAAAAACAAAAUAUUGGCAUGGGAAGGGCUUCUCCUCCUUUUUCCUUUCUCAAAGAGAGAAUCAAAGGAGACCCGGCUGCUGAAACGCCAUCCCACUGUGCCUCCUGCGACGGCGCAUUCUUCUUCCCGUGCUUGCUGUUCAGCUACUUACUUGUUUUGGAAGUUUGAUGAAGGGCGCCGAGUUCUGCCUCUAGUGGCUUCUAUCAUUUUCACAUAAGGAGGCUAAUAAUGAAGGGCCGGGGAAGGAGGCCAGUGCUAGGAGGGUUAUCUCACUGCCUCAGAUGCUGGAUAAGUCGAAGGAAGCAGAAUCGCUUUUGGAUGACAUUCAGAAAGGCCGGAGUGAUUAUUUGGGAGAGAAAAGCUUGCCUAUUCUUUUCCAAGGUGCGUGACUGUUCCCCUGGCCUGCCCAUCCACUGAUGAAUUAUUAGCAACGUGCCUUAGACAAAGGACGCACGGGAGCCCCACCACACCUAGAGCCACGCUUUGAAGGAUCUGCCAAGCUCACUUUUAAUCAUGAGAAAGAAAUUACCCACAUGGAGUCAGCAGAAAAUGAGAAAGUAGAGCUCGUGCUGCGAAUAAUUCCAGCAAGUGCCAAGGGGCUAGUUGAGGAAUGGCUUCAUGAAGUGAAUAUCUUUAGCUUGUACUUAGGGUUUGGUUAGCGUAUAAUCAUUUUCUCUUUUAGGAGCGUUGACUAUCCUCAGUGUCUUUCCUCACUAAAGAGUGCUCAGAGCAUUCGUCAGGAUGUUGACAGAUUUAAUAUCAGUCUCGUCCUUGUUGUUAUUUACUAUGACUAAUUUUACAUGUGCAAAUAUGCAAAAAUCAAUUUAGGCGGAGAGGCGCUCCGGAGCCAACGACUGUUAAUCGCUGUAUGUGUGUGUGUCUCGCUUGCGAGUGGAUGUCCAGUAAUUUCUGUCUCUGUGUGUGUACGUGCCCUUGUUCUUGUCUUCUCUCCGUUGUGCCAUAGGUUGGGAGGUUUGGCCAGCCAAUGCCUUCUCAGAUGUGGUCUGAGGCUUUCAUUUGAUUUUUGGACCAGGAAAAAAAGAAUGUGUCACAUCAUGAUUAAUGGUCAAUCUGAAUUUUCAAUUCAUAUGAAAGGAGAAGGGGGAGGAGGAUAUGAGCCCAGUGAUGAGACUAACCUUUUCCCUUUGGGAAGAGCAUGAUUCAAAUUAAACAUCACUUUCAGUGUGAAAUUAGUUUGAAGGCUUCUUUUUUUUUCUCCCCCCCCCCCCCCCACCCCGUGCCUGGUUUAACUCCAUGGUGGCUGCUCCUGCGGAGAGGACCCUUCCAUCCGGCCUCUGUGCCUGAAUCUGUUCCCAGUAGGCCAUAGUUCCUCUUCUUUUGUUUUAUUUUUCUAAAGACCAGGUCCAAGAAACCAAAAAAAAAAAAAAAAAAAAGAAUAUUUUACUAUAAAAGCAUCAUUAUUCACAAGAUAAGAUUUUCCCCAAAACAUGUUAUUUCUUUGUGUCCCACUUAUGUGUCCAAAAAAGAUAAAUAAAUAAACAAAUAA